Molecule: ribosomal RNA, 442 nt
Filed under: uncultured bacterium
Lineage: Bacteria
Description: partial 16S ribosomal RNA
Rfam family: Bacterial small subunit ribosomal RNA
Source: RNAcentral
CCUACGGGGGGCUGCAGUGGGGAAUAUUGGGCAAUGGGCGCAAGCCUGACCCAGCAACGCCGCGUGAAGGAAGAAGGCUUUCGGGUUGUAAACUUCUUUUAAGAGGGAAGAGCAGAAGACGGUACCUCUUGAAUAAGCCACGGCUAAAUACGGGCCAGCAGCCGCGGUAAUACGUAGGUGGCAAGCGUUGUCCGGAUUUACUGGGUGUAAAGGGCGUGCAGCCGGUAAGACAAGUCAGAUGUGAAAUCCCGCGGCUCAACCGCGGAACUGCAUUUGAAACUGUUUUUCUUGAGUACCGGAGAGGUCGUCGGAAUUCCUUGUGUAGCGGUGAAAUGCGUAGAUAUAAGGAAGAACACCAGUGGCGAAGGCAGAUGACUGGACGGCAACUGACGGUGAGGCGCGAAAGCGUGGGGAGCAAACAGGAUUAGAUACCCGGGUAGUC